AUCUAACCCACUCAGCUAACCAGCUGCACAGGGAUUGAACACACUACACCGAGGAGGAAACGGAAGCUCAGAAACCAGAAGGGACUUGCCCAGGACGGCGCAGCUGGUGGGCCGAGAGACAGGCCAUUUCUGGCAGCCACACCGUUGACAGGCUUUUUCCAUCACACUGAGGUCACCGGCUCAGCCCUACAUUUGCUUUGUAAAAAUUCGCCAAGCAGCAUCUCCCCGCAGGACCAGUUAUGUGUGCCUGAUCAGGGCCAGCUCCCGCGUGUCAUUCAAUCUAGAGUGAACAGCAUGGCAGCCGCCUCCUCAGGUCCCUACCCUCCACCUGGGGACCACACAGAAGAGCGCAGCGCCUGAGUGGGCGCCUUUCCAUGAAGGAGUAGGGGUGGGUCGUCCCUGGAAGAUAAUUCUCAGCAAAGCAUUUCCUGGGAAAUCAUUGGCAUCAUUCCCCACCCCCUCCCUCCUCUUGCUGGUGUCCCCUUUAAAAAAAAUUUGAUCAAUCAAAAUAAAAGAACAAGCAUGGUUGGGAGACUCGCACUGGAGAUGCUCCCUGGUCCCACGCCCAGGUUAACCCUGGAUGCGGCUCCCCUGCCUCAAAUGCUAGUGUGGUAUUUGUUCAUGAAAAAGGAAGGGGAAGUUUAGCCUUUGGGGACAUGACGACAGCUCUCCCCCUGGGUGCUGCUGCCUUCUGCCUUGAGCUGUUUGGACCAAACCCCGCGGCCAGCCUGGCAGGAGGCGCGUACACCUGGAUCCGCAGGAGGGGACAGCAGCCAUCCCCACAGAGUCACAGAACCGAGCCGCCAGCCCUGCAUGUCUGUGGGUCUAGCUGUGACAGAUCCCGACACCUUGGGCUGUUUUCCUUUUUUUGGACAAUAGAUCUCAACAUCAGUAGCUUGUUUCUGAUGCUACAGAAAAAUCUCACCUCACAGGAAUGAGCGAGGCUUGGGAGAUCUUCAUCUCCUGGGGUCCAUUCGUGUGGAUCUGAAGAAACUGUGACCUCUCUUCCCAGAACAAGAUGCGCCUAUACACGCACAGGAUGUGCCCUGGUGGGGGCACCCGUUUUCCCAGGAUUAUGCAGAUGAUCAUAAAGUAGCCCCCCAACCCCGCAAGCUAGGUCACAGGUUGUGGAUUUGGAACUCACCCCCUUGGUUUACUCCAAGAAGAAAUCUAAUGUCAAAGCAGCUUUGAUGAGUGGGCUGUGGCAGGUGGCUCAGUGGUAGAGCGCUUGCCCAGCAUGUGCGAGGCCCUGGGUUCCAACCCCAGCACCGCCAAAAAAAAGCUUUGGUGGCACAUACAGAUUCAGGUACAGAUACGAUUCAGUUGCAGAGUAAGGAGUCCAACUCUCUCACAGGUCUUCCUGAAAUGAGCCAAGGGCCUCAUCAAGGUGAAUGUCCCCACUGAUUCAAAAAUAUAAAAGGAGAUGGCAAGAGAAAGCUUUUGGAGACCACUGUUGUUCUUGAACACACCAAAUUUAGGUAGACCUGCUAAAGAGAGAGGCCAUCAAGCAACAUGACCUUGAAAAAUGCAAAACUCAUUGCCCCAAAGUGAAACAACUCGGACCAAUGGCAGUUUCUGGAAAUAACUGUCCCACACUGCAUUAUGGGUACCCAGCGCUGCUCUAUGCCAUGGAUGUCCUAAGCACUCUGUGAAGGCCAGGCCAGCAUGAUUGUUCCCACAUAGAGGUUGCAACUAUACAGGAAGGUCCAAAGAGACAAAGUAAUGCCCAAAGGGAUGCGAUGGCUAGGAGGAGAAGUUGGGGGUCAGCUGCUUGCCAGCCCAAUGUUCAUAGGAACUGCAGGGGGCUCAGACACCAUCAUGGGGUAAUCAACUAGCAAGUCAUGGAAAAGCUGCACUCGAGUUUCGUAACCCAGAUGGAUGUCUAAAGGUCUACCCACAAUGCUUUGGCAGCCCUGGUGUUGAAUUCUCUCUUCCAAAAUAAGUGCUUGACACCCUCGCCUUGAAAGAUAUGCUACUGUCCCCAAGAUCCUCUCCUCCUGCCCCGACCGACUAGUCAGUGGUUGCUAGAGUUAGAAGGGACACCAGAAAAAGACGACAGAGAAAGCCAGAAAAGACGAGGGAAUGUUGUAUAAAAGAGAAGAUCCAUCCUAAUGUAGGUAAGAAAGUCACUGGACUCCCGGAGCAGAAGACUGGGGGGCAGGACCCCCUAACGCCACCAAGGCCCAGUCCUUCCAGCUGCCUGGCCAUCUAGCACCCAACCCUAAGCCAACAUCACACAUUUCAGGGUCGUGGUUACAGCCGAAUCCCACUUCUGGUACCCAUGUUUGGGUAGGCCAGGUUAUCCUGAGGUAGCAAGCAACUUCCCAAAUCCAACUCUCCAAUCCCCAAAAUCUGGAUCAUUCUGUGGGGUCUUUUCAUGUGAAGGAGAGCUAGACCAGACUUUGUCCCAUGUGGGGGCAGUAAGCAGCUGAGUCUGCUUCUGUUACUAUUACAAACUGCCUUAGACUUUGUAAUUUAUAAACCACAGAAAGUUAUAGCUCAUUGUUCUGGAGGCUGGGAAGUCCAAGGUCAAGGCACUAGCAGACUUGGUGUCUGGUGAGGGCCACUCUCUGCUUCAUAGAUGCCCUGUUGCUGUGUCUUUGCAUCACAGAAGGGGCAAACAGCCUCUUUUGGGCCCCUCUGGUAAGGACGCCAACUCCAUCCAUGAGGGUAGAGCCCAUGUGACUUCUUAAGGCCCAAUCUCUUAACACUGUCACCUUGGAGAGUAGGUUCUACCCUGUGGAUUUUGGAGGGGCACAAACAUUCAGACUAUAGCUUAUCAAAUAGUGCUUGUUGAUGUCCCAUUGGUCAAAGGAAGUCACAUGACUAAACUUAUAGUCAGGGCUAGAGGGCCCUGCCCAAGCACGUGGCUAUUGGCAACCAUGUACCUUACACAUAAACAAAAGUAUCUCCCCACCCAUGUAAGGCCUGAAACUGCCAUCAUUUCUCUUUGAGGCCUCUGAACUAAGAAUUGCCUUCUGUUGGCUUGCUCCUGGAAAAAUCAGGCAUGACUUCAUUGCAUAUCCUAUGACUCAUGAUUUUAUUUCAAGGGAUAUAGCCAAGAGAAAAGAGUGCUUAUGUCUACCAAAAGUCACACACAAAUGCACAUGGCAACUCAAACGCCUAUCAAGAACAGAUAAACGAAUCAUGAUAUAUUCACACCAAGGAAUAAUAUACAGCAUUGAAAAAAAAAAAACAAAAGACUGCUACAUGCAACAACAGGAUAAAGAAGCCACAUAUAGGGGCUGGGGAUGUGGCUCAAGCGGUAGCGUGCUCGCCUGGCAUGCAUGCGGCCCGGGUUCGAUCCUCAGCACCACAUACAAACAAAGACGUUGUGUCUGCCGAAAACUAAAAAAUAAAUGUUAAAAUUCUCUCUCUCUCUUUAAAAAAAAAAAAAAAGCCACAUAUAUGCAAGAACACAUAUCAUACCAACUAUUUUCAAACACAGACAAAUUGCCAGGCAUGGUGGCACACCUCUAUAAUCCCAGUGACUCUGGAGGCUGAGGCAGGAGGAUCACAAGUUGGAGGCCAGCCUCAGUGAUUUAGUGAGACCCUGUCUCAAAAUAAACAAUAAAAAAAUGGGGGGUUGGGGAUGUGGCUCAGUGGUAAAGCGCCCCUGAGCUCAAUUCCUGGUACCAAAUAAGUGAAUAAAUAAA
Marmota monax (woodchuck) is the source of this 3656-nucleotide long non-coding RNA. RefSeq lists it as uncharacterized. NCBI's taxonomy places the organism in Eukaryota, Metazoa, Chordata, Mammalia, Rodentia, Sciuridae. The transcript is spliced from 3 exons. The record is from RefSeq and is a predicted model, not a curated record.